GCAAGCCAGGAAGGAGGGGGCAGCCAGAGUGUUCUCUGCAGCAGAAGACCCCUUGCUGCCCUGCUUAACCCAGACCAGCAUUUGCCAGUGGGAUGAAAGCUGGAAACAUUGGAGAAGAGCUCGAUUGGGACAAGGGAUGAAGCCCCAGGACUAGAAAAGGAGAGCAGAGGGAGAAAGAUCCAUAGGGAAGGAUUAAAAGGACUGAAAUGUGCAACUCCUAAAUACUAGAUUCCUUUAAAAAUGAUUCCUUACAUAUCCUUUGGUCACUUCUGGUGAAGAAGAAUAUUUUUUUUUGACAGCUGGAAGUUUGGGGCACAAUUUUUCACUGAAGACAAUAGACUGCACUGCACCAGGAUAGAGUAUGGAUUGCCUCCACAGCCACAGAGGAAAGAAGCCAAUAAAACUUAGGAGCAACACGUUAGCACUAUUCAGACAUGCCACCCUGAAUUCCGGAUAUUUGUACACACCUGUGUUUUCUUUUGUAAAUAAAUGCACCAGCAAUUUGUCCCUUU
This is a long non-coding RNA of Hemicordylus capensis (graceful crag lizard), 512 nucleotides long. RefSeq lists it as uncharacterized. NCBI's taxonomy places the organism in Eukaryota, Metazoa, Chordata, Lepidosauria, Squamata, Cordylidae. The record is from RefSeq and is a predicted model, not a curated record. The transcript is spliced from 3 exons.